ACUUGCACCUUCUUCACUUUCUUCUUCUUAUUUUUCUUCCCUUUCUUAAAGGGUCGAGAACCAGAAGAUGAACCUCCCACUAAGUUCACCGACUCCUUAUGGAGUUGGUGAUCCUUCUCAAAGUUCUGAAGCAACCCCAAUAACCCAUGGUAGUUUACUUCAGGCUUUGUCAUUCUAUAAUGAGUGAGGAAUGGGAGAUAAGACUUGGACAGUGAGUUUAGUAUUGCAUCUUUCCCAAGCUGCUC
Molecule: long non-coding RNA, 245 nt
Filed under: Elaeis guineensis (African oil palm)
Lineage: Eukaryota; Viridiplantae; Streptophyta; Magnoliopsida; Arecales; Arecaceae
Description: long non-coding RNA (EGUI_LNC052942)
Source: RNAcentral